CUCUCUCGCGAGAUCUCACUAAGGAGCGACGUGUGACUUGGGCAGCACUAUUAAGAACAAGCUCUCCUGUGUGUUGGUUUGUCUGCUUCUAAUUUCCCAGCUACGACAGCAGACACGUCAUCGCAAACAGUGUGACAAUACAUUGCCCUUCGCGUUAUGUUUGCAGGUUAUUUCGGUUGCACACACACACCGCAUUUGUGGGCCGAAUGAUGUGUACUUGAUUUCGACAUUUCCAUGGAGAAUUACUGACUGGCCACUACUCUCCGAUUAAAUGAACUGCUAAGAACAAAGGUUAUUUUGGUUGCGCACACACCGCAUUUGUGGGCUGAACGAUGUAUUUGAUUUCGACAUUUCCAUGGAGAAUCACUGACGGGCCACCACUCUC
Molecule: long non-coding RNA, 385 nt
Filed under: Priapulus caudatus
Lineage: Eukaryota; Metazoa; Priapulida; Priapulimorpha; Priapulimorphida; Priapulidae
Description: uncharacterized LOC106810211, transcript variant X3
Source: RNAcentral